UACGGGGGGGGCGAGCGUUGUUCGGAAUUACUGGGCGUAAAGGGCUCGUAGGCGGCCAACUAAGUCAGACGUGAAAUCCCUCGGCUUAACCGGGGAACGGCGUCUGAUACUGGAUGGCUUGAAUCCGGGAGAGGGAUGCGGAAUUCCAGGUGUAGCGGUGAAAUGCGUAGAUAUCGGAAGGAACAUCAGUGGCGAAAGCGACUUCCUGGACCAGUACCGACGUUCAGGCACGAAAGCGUGGGGAGCAAACAGG
RNAcentral lists this ribosomal RNA (253 nucleotides) under uncultured bacterium. RNAcentral's name for it is "partial 16S ribosomal RNA". It matches the Rfam family "Bacterial small subunit ribosomal RNA", at positions 524 to 776 of the family's 1533-position model. The record is from RNAcentral.